UACGGGGGGGGCAAGCGUUGUUCGGAAUUACUGGGCGUAAAGGGUUUGUAGGUGGUUCACUCAGUCAGACGUGAAAUCCCUCAGCUUAACUGGGGAACUGCGUCUGAUACUGGUGAGCUUGAGUGCAGGAGAGGAACGCGGAAUUCCAGGUGUAGCGGUGAAAUGCGUAGAUAUCUGGAGGAACACCGGUGGCGAAGGCGGCGUUCUGGAUUGCAACUGACACUGAGAAACGAAAGCCAGGGGAGCAAACGGG
This 253-nucleotide ribosomal RNA is filed under the name uncultured bacterium. Its description in RNAcentral is "partial 16S ribosomal RNA". It matches the Rfam family "Bacterial small subunit ribosomal RNA", at positions 524 to 776 of the family's 1533-position model. The record is from RNAcentral.